GACGAACGCUGGCGGCGUGCUUAACACAUGCAAGUCGAACGAAGCAUUUAAGACAGAUUACUUCGGUUUGAAGUCUUUAUGACUGAGUGGCGGACGGGUGAGUAACGCGUGGGUAACCUGCCUCAUACAGGGGGAUAGCAGCUGGAAACGGCUGGUAAUACCGCAUAAGCGCACGGUAUCGCAUGAUACAGUGUGAAAAACUCCGGUGGUAUGAGAUGGACCCGCGUCUGAUUAGCUGGUUGGUGAGGUAACGGCCCACCAAGGCGACGAUCAGUAGCCGAACCUGACGAGGGUGAACGGCCACAUUGGGACUGAAGACACGGGCCCAAAACUCCUACGGGAGGCAGCAGUGGGAAUAUUGCACAAUGGGGGAAACCCUGAUGCAGCGACGCCGCGU
This 397-nucleotide ribosomal RNA is filed under the name uncultured bacterium. RNAcentral describes it as "bacterial SSU rRNA". It matches the Rfam family "Bacterial small subunit ribosomal RNA", at positions 28 to 402 of the family's 1533-position model. The record is from RNAcentral.